AGCGAACGCUGGCGGCAGGCCUAACACAUGCAAGUCGAACGAACCUUUCGGGGUUAGUGGCGGACGGGUGAGUAACACGUGGGAACGUGCCUUUAGGUUCGGAAUAACUCAGGGAAACUUGUGCUAAUACCGAAUGUGCCCUUCGGGGGAAAGAUUAAUCGCCUUUAGAGCGGCCCGCGUCUGAUUAGCUAGUUGGUUGAGGUAAUGGCUCACCAAGGCGACGAUCAGUAGCUGGUCUGAGAGGAUGAUCAGCCACAUUGGGACUGAGACACGGCCCAAACUCCUACGGGAUGCAGCAGUGGGGAAUCUUGCGCAAUGGGCGAAAGCCUGACGCAGCCAUGCCGCGUGAAUGAUGAAGGUCUUAGGAUUGUAAAAUUCUUUCACCGGGGACGAUAAUGACGGUACCCGGAGAAGAAGCCCCGGCUAACUUCGUG
This 434-nucleotide ribosomal RNA is filed under the name uncultured bacterium. RNAcentral's name for it is "partial 16S ribosomal RNA". It matches the Rfam family "Bacterial small subunit ribosomal RNA", at positions 29 to 507 of the family's 1533-position model. The record is from RNAcentral.